Molecule: ribosomal RNA, 244 nt
Filed under: uncultured bacterium
Lineage: Bacteria
Description: partial 16S ribosomal RNA
Rfam family: Bacterial small subunit ribosomal RNA
Source: RNAcentral
GUAUCCUGGCUCAGAUUGGAACGCUGGCGGCAGGCCUAACACAAUGCAAGUCGAACGGUAACAGAAAGCAGCUUGCUGCUUUGCUGACGAGUGGCGGACGGGUGAGUAAUGUCUGGGAAACUGCCUGAUGGAGGGGGAUAACUACUGGAAACGGUAGCUAAUACCGCAUAACGUCGCAAGACCAAAGAGGGGGACCUUAGGGCCUCUUGCCAUCGGAUGUGCCCAGAUGGGAUUAGCUAGUAGG